AAACCAUGAUGUGGACACUCUAAGAGAAGAUCCUUAAAACGUUCCAUACACCUAGAAAAUGAUUCAUUUGGUUUUUGACGAAACUAGAGAAUGUCGUUCCUAAGUUU
RNAcentral lists this small nucleolar RNA (107 nucleotides) under Cephalotus follicularis. RNAcentral describes it as "Plant small nucleolar RNA R71". It matches the Rfam family "Plant small nucleolar RNA R71". From Rfam's summary of the family: R71 is a member of the C/D box family of snoRNAs containing the C (UGAUGA) and D (CUGA) box motifs. Multiple nearly identical copies of this snoRNA have been identified in Arabidopsis, and it is thought to function as a 2'-O-ribose methylation guide for 18S ribosomal RNA. The record is from Rfam by way of RNAcentral. Lineage: Eukaryota; Viridiplantae; Streptophyta; Magnoliopsida; Oxalidales; Cephalotaceae.